RNAcentral lists this ribosomal RNA (630 nucleotides) under Enterobacter sp. CGMCC 5087. RNAcentral describes it as "bacterial LSU rRNA". It matches the Rfam family "Bacterial large subunit ribosomal RNA", at positions 2190 to 2819 of the family's 2925-position model. The record is from RNAcentral. Lineage: Bacteria; Pseudomonadati; Pseudomonadota; Gammaproteobacteria; Enterobacterales; Enterobacteriaceae.
CCUUGAAAUACCACCCUUUAAUGGCUGGUGUUCUAACGUAGACCCGUGAUCCGGGUUGCGGACAGUGUCUGGUGGGUAGUUUGACUGGGGCGGUCUCCUCCCAAAGAGUAACGGAGGAGCACGAAGGUUAGCUAAUCCUGGUCGGACAUCAGGAGGUUAGUGCAAUGGCAUAAGCUAGCUUGACUGCGAGAGUGACGGCUCGAGCAGGUGCGAAAGCAGGUCAUAGUGAUCCGGUGGUUCUGAAUGGAAGGGCCAUCGCUCAACGGAUAAAAGGUACUCCGGGGAUAACAGGCUGAUACCGCCCAAGAGUUCAUAUCGACGGCGGUGUUUGGCACCUCGAUGUCGGCUCAUCACAUCCUGGGGCUGAAGUAGGUCCCAAGGGUAUGGCUGUUCGCCAUUUAAAGUGGUACGCGAGCUGGGUUUAGAACGUCGUGAGACAGUUCGGUCCCUAUCUGCCGUGGGCGCUGGAGAAUUGAGGGGGGCUGCUCCUAGUACGAGAGGACCGGAGUGGACGCAUCACUGGUGUUCGGGUUGUCAUGCCAAUGGCACUGCCCGGUAGCUAAAUGCGGAAAAGAUAAGUGCUGAAAGCAUCUAAGCACGAAACUUGCCCCGAGAUGAGUUCUCCCUGAC